This 375-nucleotide ribosomal RNA is filed under the name uncultured Lactobacillus sp. Its description in RNAcentral is "bacterial SSU rRNA". It matches the Rfam family "Bacterial small subunit ribosomal RNA", at positions 173 to 525 of the family's 1533-position model. Lineage: Bacteria; Bacillati; Bacillota; Bacilli; Lactobacillales; Lactobacillaceae. The record is from RNAcentral.
UAAAAGCUACUUUCGCAUGAAAGAAGUUUAAAAAGGCGCGUAAGCUGUCGCUAAAGGGAUGGACCUGCGAUGCAUUAGCUAGUUGGUAAGGGUAACGGGCUUACCAAGGCGAUGAUGCAUAGCCCGAGUUGAGAGACUGAUCGGGCCACGUUGGGGACUGAGACACGGGCCCAAACUCCUACGGGAGGCAGCAGUAGGGAAUCUUCCACAAUGGACGAAAGUCUGAUGGAGCAAACGCCGCGUGAGUGAAGAAGGUUUUCGGAUCGUAAAGCUCUGUUGUUGGUGAAGAAGGAUAGAGGUAGUAACUGGCCCUUUAUUUGACGGUAAUCAACCAGAAAGUCACGGGCUAACUACGUGCCAGCAGCCGCGGUAAAU